UACGUAGGCAGCGAGCGUUGUUCGGAGUUACUGGGCGUAAAGCGUGCGUAGGCGGUGUCUUAAGUUUGUUGUGAAAUCUCCCGGCUUAACCGGGAGGGUGCGGCGAAUACUGAGAUGCUGGAGUGCGGGAGAGGUAAGCGGAAUUCCUGGUGUAGCGGUGAAAUGCGUAGAUAUCAGGAGGAACACCGAUUGCGAAGGCAGCUCGCUGGGACGUUACUGACGCUGAGACGCGAAAGCGUGGGGAGCAAACAGG
RNAcentral lists this ribosomal RNA (253 nucleotides) under uncultured bacterium. RNAcentral describes it as "partial 16S ribosomal RNA". It matches the Rfam family "Bacterial small subunit ribosomal RNA", at positions 524 to 776 of the family's 1533-position model. The record is from RNAcentral.